RNAcentral lists this long non-coding RNA (6623 nucleotides) under Heterocephalus glaber (naked mole-rat). RNAcentral's name for it is "lncRNA (ENSHGLG00000039631.1)". Lineage: Eukaryota; Metazoa; Chordata; Mammalia; Rodentia; Bathyergidae. The record is from RNAcentral.
GGGGCUUCAGCACGGGGCAGGACUGGGCUAUGGCCGGGGGCCCUGACUCCCCGACCCUCGCGGCUCCCGUGGUCCCGGGGCUUCGGGUCGAGCGUAGUGCCUCUCAUUGCUAGCUAUCCCCUCACGCCUUGGAUGCCGCCUGCGAAGCCCGGUCCCACAGGCCUUCACUAACAGGCAGGAGGGCGGCGAGGUGGCAAGCCCGGGGCCAGGUGGGAACGACGAGACUGCCCGGUGUUGCCCCGCGUCACGCUGUCUCGAGAUUCGGCCCCGCCUGUGGGCUGUAGGACAGACGACGUAGGUAGAAGUCCUGAGAGGAUCUCGAAAGUUCUGAUUUAGGACCCGCAAAGGCCUUGAACUUGCUGAGGAGUAACAUACUGUGGAAAGAAUAUCAAAAACAAAUUGGCGCUUAAAGUUCUUAGAGCGAUGUUUUCUACCUGAGGGCCAGGCCCCAGGUAAAACAGGAAAUGAGAAUUUUAAGAGAUGACCAGUGAAGAUUGGAAUUGAAAUUGCCCUGUCCCUCUGUGGCUGAAAUCAGAGACCCUACCCAACCCUGCCCACUUUCUGCUACUUCAGGGCGGGAGGCACCUCUGUGUGAGACGGAUGAAAACUCCAGCUAUGGGGCGACAGGCCAUUUCACCUAUUUCUGACUGCAACAUCCAACCCAUUCUCCAAAGCCCAGUUCAAAAGGCACCCCCUCCAUGAUGUCCUUCUACUCUCAUCUGCCUCUAGAUCCCCAAGCUUACCUUUGUAGGGCUUCUAUAAAGGAUUUGCUACAUUUUUUCUUGUGCCACAGUGUGUCAGUUGGUUUUCUGUCACUGUUUUGGCUCAAGUGAGAAAGGAGAGAUGAGAAAGAGAGAGACGGGACAAAAUAUACUUCAAGGCCAUGCCCCUAGUGAUCUACUUCCUCCAACUAUGCUCCAUGUCCAAAAUUUUCAUUGCCUCCCCAUAGAAAAUUAAGCUAUGAAUGCACAGUGGAUUUAUCCAUCGAAGAGGCUAGAUCCUUCAUGAUCCAAAGGUGCCACCACUGAGACACUGCUGCACUGGGAACUAAGCCUUUAACACAGGUUUGGGGGGGAUGUUUCAGAUACAAAUUGUGACCUACAGUAAUUUGAAUAUGGAACUUAUUUUCUUUGUUGCUGGGGGUUAGGUGGGUAAGGAUUGGACUGUGUUAGUAUUUGGAUCUCUCCACUUCCUGAUGGAGCACCUUAUACAUUGUAAGCCACAAUGAAUGAUGGGCAUCUGAGGGAGCCUUUUAUGAUGAAAAGUUUGCAAAGUGAAGAUUUCCUUAUCAACUUUAUGUGCUGACUUUAACAAGAUUUAAUUGUAAGAUAAAUAUCUUGGUUUAAUCUGGGAUGGCAGCAGUGCACCCAGAAGGGAGAAAUUCUUGUGUUUUUCUUGAGAGCUUCAAAUUUAAGGAAAUGAAGAGAUACCAAUAAGGACUGGCUGUGGAGAACAGACUGCUUAGAUAGAAGGCCCUCAGGGCUUGCAUAUCUUUCUCUCCAGUGGGGCCUGUGAUAGUUAACUGUUGUGUCAACUUGAGGAAGAAACACCCAGCUGAUUGGAUUAGCAUGGUUCUGGUUGUGGCUGAAUGGAUUUCCUGAAGAUAGAAAACCCAUGCUGGGUGUGAGUGUCACCAGUCAAUGGGCUUAUAGCCUAAAUGGAAAAGGGGAAAAAAGAAGUAUCAGUUUUGUCUUUGGAGGAGCUCCAGUCUUUGCCUUUGCCACGGACAUCUGUCUCUUGGUUUCCAGUGCCGGUCUCAGUCUUCCAGCAUGGACCCUUCAGCCUCCUGAUACCGACUCACACGGGAAUCUACAGUAAGCUCCAGGCCUUCAACCUUUGAUGGAUCCUUCUGGUCCAGUGUGCCAACAAUUUUCACUCUUCCACACCUGACUCGGCAGGCGGCCAUCGUAAAUCUACGUUGUAGAUCCUUACAUAUUAGUAUAUAUUCUAUUAAAUCUGUUUCUAUAUUGAGCACUGACUGAAACAGAUUUUGGUACCAAGAAUGGCUCUAGAGAAACAGAAUUGUAAAGAUGAAAUUCUUUGAUGGCUUUAGUGAUUCCUGGAGUUGGCUCUCUAAUUUGAUAAGGUCUAGAGAUGCCAUGGUCUCUUCUGAUAAUGUAUAGCGUUCUGAUAGUCUGCAGCAUGAAUUGUUUAAAAUAAUACACAAUGUGGAUCCAUUUGAUUUUCUUAAUUAACCACUGGUGAGAUGCAAGGAAUUUAGUGACUCCAUAUGAUACUUUUGAAUAUUUUUGUCAGAGUGGGAAAUACAGUGAUGCUGGCUGGUUUCUCUUAGCAUCUCUGGACAAACUAGUAAAAGAAAAAUAAGGAGCAGGCUUGAAAAAUCUCAAGUCUUCUGAGUGUGAAGACAAAUUAAUAAAGGAAAAUAAGGAGCUCAAAGAUUCAAAUUUCCAACUCCAGACACACAUAAAAAAUCUUAAGUUUCUAAGUGUGUCCUAAAAGAGAAUCUUUUCUUUUGCUGUAUGGCCAAGAUUGCAGAAACCCAAACACAAGCCCUCAUAAUUUGAUUGGCUGAAAUACAGUGUAAGUUUAAAGCUCAGCCUUGAAAGAUAUCUGAAGUAAAGCUGAGGGCUCUGAUUAGGAAAGAAUGGGAUCCCAUAAAUUGGGAUGGAGAUGUUUGGGAGAAUCCUGAUGAGGCUGGGGACAUUGAGCUCCUAGACUCUAAUGAGAUUAUUUUGUUAGAGAAAGAGAUUUCCAUAUCCACAGUGGUGGGAACAUCUCCACCUCUACCCCAUGUGAUGUUGGCUUCUCCUCCUAUAUCUAUGGAAACUAAUCUUGUGUUAACCAAGUAUGAUAAUUUGGACAAUCCUGAAGACCCAACCUUACCACCCACUUUUGCCACUAGGUCUAUAACCAGGCUCAGAUCACAGAAGGCUCCUUAAGGUGAGGUAUGUAGUGUGACCCAUGAGGAGGUCCACUAUUCUUCUAAAGAACUUAUUGAAUUUUCUUUCUUUUUUUUGGUACCAGGGAUCAAACUCGGGACCUUGCACUUGCAAGGCAGGUGGUGGAACCACUGAGCUAAAUCCCUAGCCCAUUGAAUUUUCUAACUGUUAUAAGGAGAGGUCUGAUGAACAAGAGUGGGAAUGAAUCUUAAGGCAUGUGGGCUAAUGGUGGCAAAAACAUACACCUGGAUUGGGCUGAGUUUGUUGAUAUGGUCCCAUUAAGUACAGAUUCUGAAUUUUUUUUUUUUUGGUACCGGGGAUUAAACUCAGGUCCUUAGCUUUGCGAGGCAGGUGGUGGAACCACUGAGCUAAAUCCCUGGCCCCAGAUUCUGAAUUUAAUGUUGUAGCUCACGGAGUUAAAAAAAGUGUUAAAAAAAAAAAAAAAGGUGUUAGAGGGCCAGGGAUUUAGCUCAGUGGUGCUGCUGCCUGCCUCAUAAGCGCAAGGUCCCAAGUUCAAUCCCCAGUAACAAAAAAAAAAAAAAAAAAAAAAGGUGUUAGUAGUUUAUUUGGCUGAUUGGCAGAAGUAUGGAUCAAAAGAUGUCCUACUGUAAAUAAGUUAGAGUCUCCUGAUAUUCCUUGGUUUACUGUUAAUGAGGGGACUCAAAAGCUCAGGGAAAUGAGAAUGCUGGAGUGAAUUUGUCACAUUAAACCUAAUCCCCCACUGUGGGAUGAUCCGGAAAAUGUACCCUUCAUUAACACUUUGGGAAACAGAUUCAUGAGGGGAGCACCAGCAUCCUUGUAGAGCCCUGACAUUGUCUUUCUCUGUAUACCAGACCUUAUGGUGAGGACCGCAAUUACUCAGUUGGGAAACUUAAGGGCAGUGGGUUUAAUUGGCUCGAGGAAUGGCAUGGGUCAAAUAACAGCACUUAGUCGACAAUGACCAGAUGCAUGUACUUACUUACCAUAAUGGACAUCAGAAGCAGAGCAAUGAUUGGCAUGGUCUGUUAUGUGUAGACCUCUGGCAUUGGCUGAUUAGCCACAUUGUUCCCCAAAGUGAAAUAGACAGGUAGCCUACUAAAUUUAUACCAGGUUUAUAUAACUGAAAAAAAUUUAGGGGCAAAGGAACAGAAACCUACCUCAAAUUGUAGUAACAGAGAGUCAUGGUUCUUCAGCUAGUUCCCAGAUUUGAGCAGUUUACAGACCCAGAACCCCUUGAAUGAAGGGGUAGCCAGGUCCUUUGAGAAAGGACCCUGGUACAUCACCAAAAAUUUAUUCUGUCAGUCUUUCUCUCAUCCUUCCCCACAGGGAUCUAAGGCCUUUUAUGAGGGUAACUCUUCAUUGGAGGAAGGGAAUUAAUCAGACAUUUUAGGGACUACAGGACACUGGUUUUGAACUAAUGCUGAUUCCAAGGGAUCCAAAACAUCACUGUAGCCCUCCAGUAAGAGUAGGGGCCUAUUGAGGUCAGGUGAUCAAUGGGGUUUUAGCAAAGGUCUGACUCACAGUGGGUCCAUGUUAUGGUUUGUAUCUCAGUAUCCCCUCAAAGCCUCAUUGGGUCAUAGGUGGGGCUUUUUCAGAGAUGGCUGAAUCUAGAAUGUGGGAUGCUGGGAUUAAUGGUGUGUGAGUACUUAAUCAGUUCACUGAUUGGUUUAGCACCGCCCUAAUCCAAGUAACCUAGACAGAGUAUAAAAGGGGCAGAAAGAAACUGCUAAGGUCCCUUGCUUGCUUUGCAACCUUCUGCCCGCCAUGAACUGUUUCUCCUCUGUGAUGCUUGUCUGCCAUGCCACCCUGCCUUGGAACCAGCCGUGUAUGGACUGAAACCUCUACAAACUGUGAGCUAAAUAAACCUUUCCUCCUUUAACUUUGGGUGUUGGGUAUUUUGUCUCAGUAACAAGAAAGGUAACUAUGCCCGAAUUUGAUACCAGAGAAGUGGGGUCAUUGCUAUGACUCUACCUGACCAUGUGGUUUAGGAAACUUUGGAACUGGUUUGUGGGAAGGGGAAGAGUUAGGAAAUCUUUGGAGAUGUUGGCUGAAAAAGUAGAAUUGGAAUGCCUUAGGCUGUACUUGAUAGGAGAUUCUGGUUAGAGCUCAGAAGACCAGAAGACUGAUUGAAAUGCUGCUGGUAAAGAUAAGCUAAGGAGGUUUCUGCUGGGAAGGACUGCAUUGGCUGUUGGACUCCAGAUGAUGUUUGUUAUGGUUUGAUAGAAAAUUUAUCUGCAUUUUGCUUAUGUCCAGAGACUUUGGCUAAGACUGAGAUUAAGGGAGGUGGACUAAUUAAUCUUGAAGUGGAAAUUUCAAAGCAGUCUAGUGUUGAGGUGGUGGCAUGACUACUGUUGGGGAUGUUUAGUUGGAUUUAUGUUGAGAAUCAAGAGCAAAGAGCCCAGCAAAAUGAUUCAAAACAUUGUAAGUUUGGCCAGAAAGGAAGCUCCAGUAAAAUCGUGGCCUGCAAAGAUGGAACAGAGGAGAAAUUAGUUGCUGAAAAGAUUAGCAAGAAAAACUAACCUACUUCAGAAGAAGACAACAGAAAAAUUGCCUAAGGACAGUACAAGAACCAACAGGACUCCAGCCUUUGCAGCCUCAGACUUGCAAAAGUAAAAAACUUUGCUUUGAGAAGAAAGCCACAGAGCACCAUGUUCCAACACCAUGUUCCCUAGGCUGCCUAGGGAAGUUGUUGCUUGGGAUUUGAUUCAUAGGAAUUCAGUCGCUACAGCCAAGAGAGAAGGAAGCUUGGCUAUUGCUCUAGCUGGUGGCACACCUUGGCGUCAUCCAUGUGGUGCUGGUUUUAGGUGCAUGCAGAAUGCAAGAGCUGUGGGGUCAGGAAGGCUUCCACCCAGAUUUCAGAAAAAGGCCUGGGAGGCCAGGCAGUGUGCCCCAAGGCAGUGUGUGAAGCUGUGAGUGUGAAGCCAAAAGUGCAGUGGAGAGUCCAGAAGUUUGGAGAAGCCAGAAACAUGGGUUCUCUGAGAAAAACUGCAAGGAGGGAGAAGAACAGCCCAAAGAUAGAAGCCAUGGGAGCUACCACCACUGGAAGUGCCAUAGAGGGCCAGAGCUACCCAAUCCCUUUGGAGUUCACAUCUUGACACAGAUUGCCUUGAAUGCUGCACAUAGAACUACAGGCCUUAAUGUUUGCCCUGCUGGAUUUUGGACUUGCUUUGGUCCCAUUCCUUUGUAUCCUCUUAUUUGUACCUUUUGGAUUGGUAAUGUUUACUUUGUGCUAUUAUAUGUUGGAAAUAUUUAACUUUCUUUUAAUUUGUACAGGGGCUUACAGCUAAGAGUUUGCUUUAAAUCUCAGAGGAGACUUGGGACUUGGACUUUUCAGCAAUGCUGAAACUGUUAGAAUUUUGUUAACUCUUAGAGAUGGACUAAAUGGCUUUUGCAUAAAGGAAUGUACAUAAGUCUUUGGGGGGACAGGGGUAGAAUGUUAUGGUUUGUGUCUUGUUGCCCCCUAAAGCCUCAUGUGGUCAUAGGUGGGGCUUUUUCAGAGGUGGCUGAAUCUAGAGUGUGUGAUUAUUAAAUCAAACCACUGAUUGGUUUGGCACUGCCCUAAUCCAGGUAUCCUAGAUAGAGUAUAAAUGGGCAGAAAGAAACUGCUAAGGUCUCUUGCUUGCUUGCUACCUUCUUCCCACCAUGAACUGUUUCUCCUCUGUGAUGCUUGUCUGCCAUGCUACCCUGCCUUGGAACCAACUGAUUAUGGACUGAAACCUCUACAAACUGUGAGCUAAAUAAACC